Long non-coding RNA from Hevea brasiliensis (rubber tree), 396 nucleotides. RefSeq lists it as uncharacterized. The transcript is spliced from 2 exons. Lineage: Eukaryota; Viridiplantae; Streptophyta; Magnoliopsida; Malpighiales; Euphorbiaceae. The record is from RefSeq and is a predicted model, not a curated record.
GUUCUUCACUCACUCUCUCUCUCUCUCUCUCUCUCAUCUUACCCGGUCUUCGCCAGCAACCAGAGCCCCGAACUCUGUUAAUAUCAAAAUCAAGAUUCUGACAAAAUUUUCAAAGCAGCAUGGAGUGAUGGCCCUUUUGUCAUCACCUUCUAAGUAGUUUAACAUACGGCCAUGAACCAAGCUGCGCCAGUGAAGGUGGCUCUUGGGUUGAUUGGACCGUGCUUGGUUGGCUGUCAAAUAGCAUUUCAAAGAGUUCUUAGCUGCCAUCAGUGGCUCUUCCUCCACUUUCCUUGCCUUUCCUGGUGUUAAUUUGUGAUUGUUUUUGAAGGCGGUAAAGUGUACGGAUUUAACGUUUCAGACUAUUUGAUAAAAGGCAAAGCAAGUGUUUGUAAUCUA